UGGAUAGCUCAGUUGGUUAGAGCGCGAUGCUGAUAACACGAAGGUUGCAAGUUUGAUUCCUGGAUGGGACAG
Non-coding RNA from Podarcis lilfordi (Lilford's wall lizard), 72 nucleotides. Lineage: Eukaryota; Metazoa; Chordata; Lepidosauria; Squamata; Lacertidae. The record is from the annotation of a GenBank genome assembly.